RNAcentral lists this ribosomal RNA (868 nucleotides) under uncultured crenarchaeote. RNAcentral describes it as "bacterial SSU rRNA". It matches the Rfam family "Archaeal small subunit ribosomal RNA", at positions 21 to 865 of the family's 1478-position model. Lineage: Archaea; Thermoproteati; Thermoproteota. The record is from RNAcentral.
ACCCCACUGCUAUCGGGAUAGGACUAAGACAUGCUAGUCGAGCGCUUCAAGCCAAAAAGAGGCGCGGCAUACAGCUCAGUAACACGUGGCUAAUCUGCCCUUGGGAUAGGAACACCCCCGGGAAACUGGGGCUAAUUCCCAAUAGGCGAGGAACUCUGGAAUGAGUCUUUACCAGAAAAGACGUUUACGUUAUGCUCGUAGGCGUCGCCCAAGGAUGAGGCCGCGACCGAUCAGGUUGUUGGUGAGGUAAUGGCUCACCAAGCCUUUUACCGGUGCGGGCCGUGAGAGCGGGAGCCCGGAGAUGGGCACUGAGACAAGGGCCCAGGUCCUACGGGGCGCAGCAGUCGCGAAAACUUUGCAAUACACGAAAGUGUGACAGGGUCAUCCCGAGUGCCGACCGCUGAGGUUGGCUUUUACCCAGUCUAGAAAGCUGGGGGAAUAAGGAGAGGGCAAGUCUGGUGUCAGCCGCCGCGGUAAUACCAGCUCUCCGAGUGGUGUGGACGUUUAUUGGGCCUAAAGCAUCCGUAGCUGGCUGAACAAGUCCCCUGUUAAACCCACCGAUUUAAUCGUUGGCGUGCGGGGGAUACUGCUCGGCUAGGGGACGAGAGAGGCAGACGGUAUUCCCGGGGUAGGGGUGAAAUCCUAUAAUCCCGAGAAGACCACCAGUGGCGAAGGCUGUCUGCUAGAACGCGCCCGACGGUGAGGGAUGAAAGCUGGGGGAGCGAACCGGAUUAGAUACCCGGGUAGUCCCAGCUGUAAACGAUGCAGACUAGGUGUUUGGACGGCCACGUGCCGUUCUAGUGCCGCAGGGAAGCUGUUAAGCCUGCCGCCUGGGGAGUACGAUCGCAAGAUUGAAACUUAAAGGAAU